AUUAACUCAGAAUGAAAAUAAUAAAUCAUAAACACAGUUGUCAAAUGAAGCAUCACACUAUUCCAACGACUUGUUCUUUCAUUUAUAAAGCAUACAUUUUUU
This is a long non-coding RNA of Strigops habroptila (Kakapo), 102 nucleotides long. RefSeq lists it as uncharacterized. Lineage: Eukaryota; Metazoa; Chordata; Aves; Psittaciformes; Psittacidae. The record is from RefSeq and is a predicted model, not a curated record. The transcript has 3 exons.